AAGACGGGACUGCCUUCAAUGCGCAGGAGGAGAGGGCAGGUAUGGUCGCCAUCACUUCACCCCUUCUCUCUCCUGCCCGACGUGCCCGUCAGAUGUGAAAGGACAACAAAGCUGCAGCUGCUGCUUCUGCUUCUGCUUCUGCCAACCCCUCUGCUGCUAAAACGACAGUGCGUUCAGCGAGGGGUCAAUCAUAAAGCAAUAGAUUGCAAAAUGAUUUUGCCUCGGCCUCCGCACCCCGCUUGACUCUCAUUGGCUCUGACACUGCCUGUGUGUCUUUGCUGUAUCCCUAGCCCCAUCUUGCCACCACGGACCACCCAUGACACGUCACGUCGUUGGGCACGUGCGAAGGAUUUUAAAAGCAUAAUGCUUGAGUUUAUUUUUAUGCUUUUUGUUGUCCGUCCAAAAUAAAAUAGAAUAAAUAAAAAAUAAAUAAAUAUUCUGCUGUCCAAAAAAGAAUUACACCAUCUUAUUCGCCCGCGCGGGAAUUUCGGCUUGCAAUGCGUUGUAAACGUAUAAAUAAUGGUUUUGUGUGCUUCUCAGUCUUCUGUUAGUUGCUUCUCAUUUCUUUGUUUUUCUCGAUUGACUCUCUUUAUUCUGCUAAAUUCGUAGCGUCCAUGCAUGUGACAGUCCUUCUCUUUUCAUAGAUUUGUUUUUUGUUUUUGUUUUUGUGUUUAUAUAUUUCUUUCUUUUUUUCACACAAGAAUAA
RNAcentral lists this long non-coding RNA (706 nucleotides) under Prunus persica (peach). Its description in RNAcentral is "long non-coding RNA (PPER_LNC005098)". Lineage: Eukaryota; Viridiplantae; Streptophyta; Magnoliopsida; Rosales; Rosaceae. The record is from RNAcentral.